RNAcentral lists this ribosomal RNA (465 nucleotides) under Vreelandella stevensii. Its description in RNAcentral is "partial 16S ribosomal RNA". It matches the Rfam family "Bacterial small subunit ribosomal RNA", at positions 338 to 795 of the family's 1533-position model. Lineage: Bacteria; Pseudomonadati; Pseudomonadota; Gammaproteobacteria; Oceanospirillales; Halomonadaceae. The record is from RNAcentral.
CCUACGGGUGGCAGCAGUGGGGAAUAUUGGACAAUGGGGGGAACCCUGAUCCAGCCAUGCCGCGUGUGUGAAGAAGGCCCUCGGGUUGUAAAGCACUUUCAGUGAGGAAGAACGCCUGGUGGUUAAUACCCAUCAGGAAAGACAUCACUCACAGAAGAAGCACCGGCUAACUCCGUGCCAGCAGCCGCGGUAAUACGGAGGGUGCGAGCGUUAAUCGGAAUUACUGGGCGUAAAGCGCGCGUAGGUGGCUUGAUAAGCCGGUUGUGAAAGCCCCGGGCUCAACCUGGGAACGGCAUCCGGAACUGUCAAGCUAGAGUGCAGGAGAGGAAGGUAGAAUUCCCGGUGUAGCGGUGAAAUGCGUAGAGAUCGGGAGGAAUACCAGUGGCGAAGGCGGCCUUCUGGACUGACACUGGCACUGAGGUGCGAAAGCGUGGGUAGCAAACAGGAUUAGAUACCCGUGUAGUC